CAGUCUCAGUCUAGAUUCUGUG
RNAcentral lists this non-coding RNA (22 nucleotides) under Arabidopsis thaliana (thale cress). Lineage: Eukaryota; Viridiplantae; Streptophyta; Magnoliopsida; Brassicales; Brassicaceae. The record is from RNAcentral.